UAUGCUGACUUUUACAGACACAUCUUCGAACUAUUAAGCUAAGUAAUAUCCAAACUAUUUUUUAUUGUUGUGGAAGCAUGUGGUGGAUGCUGUGGUAUGCCUUCUGCGUUGCCCCUUCAGGUCUGAAGCGUGCAUUUCCACACCUGCGAGAAGUAUUGGCUGUAGACAUUUCAUGGCUGAGUACCACUUUGGAGAUUGCUCUAGAAUAAAGGGAGCUGCUUUGCUCAAGGUUAUACCCUCUUACUGGAGUUAGCUCACAUCAAAGAACUGGUCUAUGCAGAUGUACGAAGACCUGGCCUUUUUGUCUCAAUUCUGGAAAACUUGGAAGAGCCAUUCUAGCUCCUGGGCUCUUGAAGGACUGGCUAAGACCUGUUAGAAUUGCACACUGACGUUCAACUUCCCCCUCUGUCCAAUUCUUAUUUCUCAUUCUUUUAUAAGUAUUGUUCCAUCUUAGAAUCUGUUUCCUAGGGAACCCAAUUUAAACACCAGUUAGAAUGUCUGAGGAAGCAGAAUCUAAAAUGCAACUUUGAAGCUGGAUCCCUUGCUGGCUGCAGGGAAAUGAGAACCCUGCCACUGGUAUUAGGUGGGGAAAUGAUAGCCCCUAGCAUGCUAUAGCAGUGCAGUUGUUAGAACUUUUACAAGUUCUGAGCUGGAAUAGGACACGAGUGGAAGAUGUGCUGUUCUUGACGUCCUUACUUCUGUCCUCAGAAUCAUAUCUUCGCAUCUGAAAGAAGGCAACAGCAUUGAGCAACAAUCUGGGACUCUAUUUGAUAUCUUCCCUUGAGAAGUGUUAAAUGUUGCCAUAAUCUUGACAGUUCAAAAGUUAGUCAUGUGGUUGAUAUUUUACCAAUGAGAUGAAUGUGACUGUAAUAUGGGCAAAUCCCACCUACCAUAAAAGCUGGCAAUACUUGCCUAAUAUUGAAGGAAGGAGACAUUUAGAGCAAGCCAGGAAGCUGGAACACCGGAUCAGGAACAGACACUUCUCCGCAAGUUUAGAGUUUGGUAUUUCUCAAGUCCUGGCCUGAGGGAUGUUUACUCUCAGGUUAUACAAAGUCCCAGCUUGGGUUCUGGAAAAAUUGAACUGACAACUUUGCCUGAAAGAAGUUUCUUGCUAACUCCUAGGAAAGAAGGUGAGAAUGAGGCCACUGACGUCAUCUUGGCUUGGUUUACUUAAGCCUGGGCAAAGAGGGAAAAGGGCACUGGAGAUUU
Molecule: long non-coding RNA, 1209 nt
Filed under: Homo sapiens (human)
Lineage: Eukaryota; Metazoa; Chordata; Mammalia; Primates; Hominidae
Description: HSALNT0313138
Source: RNAcentral